Molecule: ribosomal RNA, 281 nt
Filed under: Klebsiella pneumoniae
Lineage: Bacteria; Pseudomonadati; Pseudomonadota; Gammaproteobacteria; Enterobacterales; Enterobacteriaceae
Description: partial 23S ribosomal RNA
Rfam family: Bacterial large subunit ribosomal RNA
Source: RNAcentral
AGGGCCAUCGCUCAACGGAUAAAAGGUACUCCGGGGAUAACAGGCUGAUACCGCCCAAGAGUUCAUAUCGACGGCGGUGUUUGGCACCUCGAUGUCGGCUCAUCACAUCCUGGGGCUGAAGUAGGUCCCAAGGGUAUGGCUGUUCGCCAUUUAAAGUGGUACGCGAGCUGGGUUUAGAACGUCGUGAGACAGUUCGGUCCCUAUCUGCCGUGGGCGCUGGAGAAUUGAGGGGGGCUGCUCCUAGUACGAGAGGACCGGAGUGGACGCAUCACUGGUGUUCG